UGGGGAAUUUUGGACAAUGGACGCAAGUCUGAACCAGCCAUGCCGCGUGGAGGAUGAAGGUCCUCUGGAUUGUAAACUUCUUUUAUCUGGGACGAAACACUUCUUUUCUAAGAGGCCUGACGGUACCAGAUGAAUAAGCACCGGCUAACUCCGUGCCAGCAGCCGCGGUAAUACGGAGGGUGCAAGCGUUAUCCGGAUUCACUGGGUUUAAAGGGUGCGUAGGUGGGUAUGUAAGUCAGUGGUGAAAUCCCCGAGCUUAACUUGGGAACUGUCAUUGAUACUAUAUAUCUUGACUACCGUAGAGGUAAGCGGAAUAUGUCAUGUAGCGGUGAAAUGCUUGGAUAUGACAUGGCACACCAAUUGCGAAGGCAGCUUACUAUGCGGUGAUUGACACUGAGGCACGAAAGCGUGGGUAGCA
RNAcentral lists this ribosomal RNA (418 nucleotides) under uncultured bacterium. Its description in RNAcentral is "bacterial SSU rRNA". It matches the Rfam family "Bacterial small subunit ribosomal RNA", at positions 355 to 770 of the family's 1533-position model. The record is from RNAcentral.